GCAUUCGUGGUGUAGUGGUCAGCACACUCGGCGCCUAUUCAAGAGGUCUGUGGUUCGAGUCCAGGCGAGGGCA
This 73-nucleotide transfer RNA is filed under the name Stegodyphus mimosarum. It matches the Rfam family "tRNA". Rfam says of the family: Transfer RNA (tRNA) molecules are approximately 80 nucleotides in length. Their secondary structure includes four short double-helical elements and three loops (D, anti-codon, and T loops). Lineage: Eukaryota; Metazoa; Arthropoda; Arachnida; Araneae; Eresidae. The record is from Rfam by way of RNAcentral.